UGCCCUACGGGGCGCAGCAGUGGGGAAUAUUGGACAAUGGGGGGAACCCUGAUCCAGCGACGCCGCGUGAGCGAUGAAGUAUUUCGGUAUGUAAAGCUCUAUCAGCAGGGAAGAAAAUGACGGUACCUGACUAAGAAGCACCGGCUAACUACGUGCCAGCAGCCGCGGUAAUACGUAGGGGGCAAGCGUUAUCCGGAUUUACUGGGUGUAAAGGGAGCGUAGACGGCUGUGCAAGUCUGAAGUGAAAGGCAAGGGCUCAACCUUUGGACUGCUUUGGAAACUGUGCAGCUAGAGUGUCGGAGAGG
Molecule: ribosomal RNA, 305 nt
Filed under: uncultured bacterium
Lineage: Bacteria
Description: bacterial SSU rRNA
Rfam family: Bacterial small subunit ribosomal RNA
Source: RNAcentral